GGGUUGUGAGGUUAAGCGACUAAGCGUACACGGUGGAUGCCCUGGCAGUCAGAGGCGAUGAAGGGCGUGCUAAUCUGCGAUAAGCGCCGGUAAGGUGAUAUGAACCGUUAUAACCGGCGAUACCCGAAUGGGGAAACCCAGUGUGAUUCGUCACACUAUCAUUAACUGAAUCCAUAGGUUAAUGAGGCGAACCGGGGGAACUGAAACAUCUAAGUACCCCGAGGAAAAGAAAUCAACCGAGAUUCCCCCAGUAGCGGCGAGCGAACGGGGAGGAGCCCAGAGCCUGAAUCAGCAUGUGUGUUAGUGGAAGCGUCUGGAAAGGCGCGCGAUACAGGGUGACAGCCCCGUACACAAAAGCGCAUGUGCUGUGAGCUCGAUGAGUAGGGCGGGACACGUGGUAUCCUGUCUGAAUAUGGGGGGACCAUCCUCCAAGGCUAAAUACUCCUGACUGACCGAUAGUGAACCAGUACCGUGAGGGAAAGGCGAAAAGAACCCCGGCGAGGGGAGUGAAAAAGAACCUGAAACCGUGUACGUACAAGCAGUGGGAGCCCCACCACUAAGCCAGUGGUGAACUCCACAUACGCAUCCUUUGCUGAGGAUACGGUUAACGGAGCGAAAGCGACGUUCAACCGCAAAACAAGCAGAGGGGGCUUAGUGGUGGGGUGACUGCGUACCUUUUGUAUAAUGGGUCAGCGACUUAUAUUCUGUAGCAAGGUUAACCGAAUAGGGGAGCCGUAGGGAAACCGAGUCUUAACCGGGCGUUAAGUUGCAGGGUAUAGACCCGAAACCCGGUGAUCUAGCCAUGGGCAGGUUGAAGGUUGGGUAACACUAACUGGAGGACCGAACCGACUAAUGUUGAAAAAUUAGCGGAUGACCUGUGGCUGGGGGUGAAAGGCCAAUCAAACCGGGAGAUAGCUGGUUCUCCCCGAAAGCUAUUUAGGUAGCGCCUCGUGAAUUCAUCUCCGGGGGUAGAGCACUGUUUCGGCUAGGGGGCCAUCCCGGCUUACCAACCCGAUGCAAACUGCGAAUACCGGAGAAUGUUAUCACGGGAGACACACGGCGGGUGCUAACGUCCGUCGUGAAGAGGGAAACAACCCAGACCGCCAGCUAAGGUCCCAAAGUCAUGGUUAAGUGGGAAACGAUGUGGGAAGGCCCAGACAGCCAGGAUGUUGGCUUAGAAGCAGCCAUCAUUUAAAGAAAGCGUAAUAGCUCACUGGUCGAGUCGGCCUGCGCGGAAGAUGUAACGGGGCUAAACCAUGCACCGAAGCUGCGGCAGCGAACGUAUCACUUAAAGCGAUUCAGCGGGUUACGAUUGACGGAGCGAAGCGACGUCAAAGCGUAUACAAAGUCGAGUCGGUUUAAGGAUACGUUCGUUGGGUAGGGGAGCGUUCUGUAAGCCUGCGAAGGUGGCCUGUGAGGGUUGCUGGAGGUAUCAGAAGUGCGAAUGCUGACAUAAGUAACGAUAAAGCGGGUGAAAAGCCCGCUCGCCGGAAGACCAAGGGUUCCUGUCCAACGUUAAUCGGGGCAGGGUGAGUCGACCCCUAAGGCGAGGCCGAAAGGCGUAGUCGAUGGGAAACGGGUUAAUAUUCCCGUACUUGGUGUUACUGCGAAGGGGGGACGGAGAAGGCUAUGUUGGCCGGGCGACGGUUGUCCCGGUUUAAGCGUGUAGGUGUGUGUUCCAGGUAAAUCCGGUUCACUUUAACACUGAGGCGUGACGACGAGGCACUACGGUGCUGAAGCAACAAAUGCCCUGCUUCCAGGAAAAGCCUCUAAGCAUCAGGUAACAUCAAAUCGUACCCCAAACCGACACAGGUGGUCAGGUAGAGAAUACCAAGGCGCUUGAGAGAACUCGGGUGAAGGAACUAGGCAAAAUGGUGCCGUAACUUCGGGAGAAGGCACGCUGACACGUAGGUGAAGUGAUUUACUCAUGGAGCUGAAGUCAGUCGAAGAUACCAGCUGGCUGCAACUGUUUAUUAAAAACACAGCACUGUGCAAACACGAAAGUGGACGUAUACGGUGUGACGCCUGCCCGGUGCCGGAAGGUUAAUUGAUGGGGUCAGCGCAAGCGAAGCUCCUGAUCGAAGCCCCGGUAAACGGCGGCCGUAACUAUAACGGUCCUAAGGUAGCGAAAUUCCUUGUCGGGUAAGUUCCGACCUGCACGAAUGGCGUAAUGAUGGCCAGGCUGUCUCCACCCGAGACUCAGUGAAAUUGAACUCGCUGUGAAGAUGCAGUGUACCCGCGGCAAGACGGAAAGACCCCGUGAACCUUUACUAUAGCUUGACACUGAACAUUGAGCCUUGAUGUGUAGGAUAGGUGGGAGGCUUUGAAGUGUGGACGCCAGUCUGCAUGGAGCCGACCUUGAAAUACCACCCUUUAAUGUUUGAUGUUCUAACGUGGACCCGUAAUCCGGGUUGCGGACAGUGUCUGGUGGGUAGUUUGACUGGGGCGGUCUCCUCCUAAAGAGUAACGGAGGAGCACGAAGGUUGGCUAAUCCUGGUCGGACAUCAGGAGGUUAGUGCAAUGGCAUAAGCCAGCUUGACUGCGAGCGUGACGGCGCGAGCAGGUGCGAAAGCAGGUCAUAGUGAUCCGGUGGUUCUGAAUGGAAGGGCCAUCGCUCAACGGAUAAAAGGUACUCCGGGGAUAACAGGCUGAUACCGCCCAAGAGUUCAUAUCGACGGCGGUGUUUGGCACCUCGAUGUCGGCUCAUCACAUCCUGGGGCUGAAGUAGGUCCCAAGGGUAUGGCUGUUCGCCAUUUAAAGUGGUACGCGAGCUGGGUUUAGAACGUCGUGAGACAGUUCGGUCCCUAUCUGCCGUGGGCGCUGGAGAACUGAGGGGGGCUGCUCCUAGUACGAGAGGACCGGAGUGGACGCAUCACUGGUGUUCGGGUUGUCAUGCCAAUGGCACUGCCCGGUAGCUAAAUGCGGAAGAGAUAAGUGCUGAAAGCAUCUAAGCACGAAACUUGCCCCGAGAUGAGUUCUCCCUGAGACUUAGAGUCUCCUGAAGGAACGUUGAAGACGACGACGUUGAUAGGCCGGGUGUGUAAGCGCAGCGAUGCGUUGAGCUAACCGGUACUAAUGAACCGUGAGGCUUAACCUUACAACGCCGAAG
RNAcentral lists this ribosomal RNA (3109 nucleotides) under Salmonella enterica subsp. enterica serovar Anatum. Its description in RNAcentral is "23S ribosomal RNA". It matches the Rfam family "Bacterial large subunit ribosomal RNA". The record is from RNAcentral. Lineage: Bacteria; Pseudomonadati; Pseudomonadota; Gammaproteobacteria; Enterobacterales; Enterobacteriaceae.